UGUAAAGCAGUAAAUUAUGAAGAACUAGUAAAGUCUUCAUCAUAAGUAAUGUAGAACAAUUACUAUUUUUAAUUCCUGGGAUAUAAGGUAUAGAUCUUGUUGGUAUCCUGAAAGCAGUUCCAUGCGUUGUUCCUACACUUCCAUUUUCCUUCACUCAAAAAGUGCAAAACUCAGGACAAGCAAUUUUAUUGACUACCACAUGAUAGUCCCAGAGGGUUUUUAUAUUGCCUUUCCCUUUCUCCCAAGAGGGACAGUGCUUUAGAAAACAAUGACUUUGCAAGUAGAAAGUAACUUUCUUUCAAAUGAGAAUGUUUUCCAGCAUAUUAAAUCAACCUGAAUUCAAUGAACUUUUGGGAGGGGGCUAAAAUCUUCCCCAGAAAGGGUAUAUUCCCAAGGGACACUAGCCAGCUGCUCUGCUUUUAUCAAGUAAAUAUGCUUCUACGUCAAUAAAAAGCAUUGGAAGAGAAGGAAGAAAAUAUCCCAUUAUGUGCUGGAAGUCCCAAGGGAGGCAUUAGGCAAUGACUUCACCACACUUCUGGAAGUAUCUCCUGUAGCAAACGCUGUUGCAAGAGCAAGAAUAAGUCCCAUUAAAUUUUACUGGGCUUAAAUAACUUAAUAUGGUGUCAGUUUAUAAAGCCCCCAAACAAACAGAAUGACAAAUUUUUGUUUUCUCCAUGUGGUUUGAAUUUACAUAAAAGAAAUUAGAAUUAGAUUUAUGUACCUCUUAGGUCUGAUUUUAAAUUCAGAAAUGCGAGCAAAUUCAGAGUUAAAUUCCUUCUCUUACAGCUUAAUAUGAUUGUGCUGAGGAGUGUGGGAACAGGCGAGGCGCAGUUCUAAGGCACAGCGGUAAAAGUUGAGGGCAGAAUGAAUAUAUUGAAAUGUUUCAUGGCUUUUAUGAGCCUGAGAAGGAUCCUGCUAGAGCUGUAGCACGGCUCUAUUUAUGCUCAAAUACAGUUAAGCUGAUGGAAGCAAUGUCUGUGCCGUCAGGACAAACGUGGUUUCUGAAUUAUCCCAUCUCCAUUAUUAUCCCAAGGUAACGAUAGGCUUUCCCAUUUAGCCAUCAGAAGAAAUUCACAAUGACCCAGCCAUGUUGCCCUGCUGUGUUUUAUGGAGUAGAGAGUUAGCGAAGUAACAUAAAGGAUCAAGACAACAGGUUCUGCGGUUUUGAAAUGUAGACGUUUGAAAACAUUCUCAGAGCCUCGCAGAGGAAGUCUACAGGGUCUCUAAUGAUUCUACUCCAGACAAGAUGGGCUAGAAUGGAGAGAGAGAUCUUCUCUUAAGAAGUCUGUGCCUUCAAACACCAGCGGGUCUGGCUACCCAGCCAUGGGUUGCCAGGAUCGGCCUUUCAUGAUUCUGAUGAUGCCCCAGGCAUGAGUGACCUGAGCACUUUGAGAACUGUCUGAAAUUGCCCGUAAAUACUGGGGCAGGCUUUGGACAAAGACUAAAUGUUUCCGUUGAACUUAACCUUUGUACUUAGGAGUGCCAUCUUGGGGACUUCCUCAACUUUCUAGCUGAUCAGGAAAAAAAAAAUUAAGUAGAAUCUGAAACCAUAAAUACAAAAGAAAUCUACUGAAUAACAGCUGAAUAUUACCAGUGAAAUGCAUCAAUUCAUCAGCUUACACUUGAUCACACUCUGCAGAAGACUUCCAAAGAAUACAUCAGACUGGAGGAAGUGCAGUGUUACUUGCAUUCUUUUUUCCCCCCAUCCUUUUUCUUUUUCCUGGAACUAAACCAAAACACAUUCACAACAGUAAAAAGUACUGCUUCUGCAGGACAUGUUUCAGAUAUCUGUGCAGAGAUUCUGACCAGCAGCUUCUUAUAUUUAGCAGCCAAAAUAAUGUAUUUGUCACCACUGUUCUCCUUGGAUGCAUCUUUGUGUACAUCAGCUCAGCCCUUCCCUUGACUGACUGUACUGGCAUCUCCUCAGUGCUUCACAGCUUUUUCUAGACUGCUUCUCCUCAGUUCUGUGAUUCUUCCUUUUCUUAUGAGGUUCUAAGUAUUCUAAGAUGACUUUAAUAUGACCUCCCUUUGGGAGCAGCUCCAGAGGGCUCUCACAGGUCCAAGAGGAAAAGACUCCAGAGUGAGGUGACUUGCUCUGUAAAGCACUUGGUGAUCAGCACGGGACUCCUGUUGCCUUAACAGUGAAGUGAAGUGAAAAAAAACUCAGCUCAGUCUGGAUCUCCCUAGAGAUGGAACUUAAUUAUGAUCCAGCACGUUUGUUCAACUGCUGCAGUCCUACACAUUUUGGUGUCACUACUUCUGGUUUUACUGGGUUGAGAAGAGUGACCAACGAAAAUGAAUUUGGAGAAAAAUGGUGCUUUUUACUGAUGCCUGCAAUUGUUGGAUCUCUGAUAUUGUAGUUCCCAUAACAACAUCCAAAUGACUGAGGACUCUGCACCAUUGCUGUCCAUUGAACCUACAGGAUGUGGCUGUUAUUGCUCCAGUUUCCUCAUUUCUCUGAGAAAGGCAAGUGCUUUGGGGAGCUGGCUCCAUGUUUUGUUCCAGCAAACAAAACUUUACUGCUAUGCAUUGUCUGUAUUUUUCCAUCUA
Molecule: non-coding RNA, 2550 nt
Organism: Cyanistes caeruleus (blue tit)
Lineage: Eukaryota; Metazoa; Chordata; Aves; Passeriformes; Paridae
Source: RefSeq, a predicted model, not a curated record